GACGAACGCUGGCGGCGUGCUUAACACAUGCAAGUCGAACGGAAAGGCCCUGCUUUGGUGGGGUGCUCGAGUGGCGAACGGGUGAGUAACACGUGAGUAACCUGCCCUUGACUUUGGGAUAACUUCAGGAAACUGGGGCUAAUACCGGAUAGGAGCUCCUGCUGCAUGGUGGGGGUUGGAAAGUUUCGGCGGGUGGGGAUGGACUCGCGGCUUAUCAGCUUGUUGGUGGGGUAGUGGCUUACCAAGGCUUUGACGGGUAGCCGGCCUGAGAGGGUGACCGGCCACAUUGGGACUGAGAUACGGCCCAGACUCCUACGGGAGGCAGCAGUGGGGAAUAUUGCACAAUGGGCGGAAGCCUGAUGCAGCAACGCCGCGUGCGGGAUGACGGCCUUCGGGUUGUAAACCGCUUUCGCCUGUGACGAAGCGUGAGUGACGGUAAUGGGUAAAGAAGCACCGGCUAACUACGUG
This 468-nucleotide ribosomal RNA is filed under the name uncultured bacterium. Its description in RNAcentral is "partial 16S ribosomal RNA". It matches the Rfam family "Bacterial small subunit ribosomal RNA", at positions 28 to 507 of the family's 1533-position model. The record is from RNAcentral.